RNAcentral lists this ribosomal RNA (164 nucleotides) under uncultured bacterium. RNAcentral's name for it is "partial 16S rRNA". It matches the Rfam family "Bacterial small subunit ribosomal RNA", at positions 355 to 511 of the family's 1533-position model. The record is from RNAcentral.
UAGGGAAUCUUCCACAAUGGGCGAAAGUCUGAUGGAGCAACGCCGCGUGUGUGAUGAAGGCUUUAGGGUCGUAAAGCACUGUUGUAUGGGAAGAAAUGCUAGAAUAGGGAAUGAUUCUAGUUCGACGGUACCAUACCAGAAAGGGACGGCUAAAUACGUGCCAC